RNAcentral lists this ribosomal RNA (450 nucleotides) under uncultured bacterium. Its description in RNAcentral is "partial 16S ribosomal RNA". It matches the Rfam family "Bacterial small subunit ribosomal RNA", at positions 354 to 796 of the family's 1533-position model. The record is from RNAcentral.
GUGGGGAAUUUUGGACAAUGGGCGCAAGCCUGAUCCAGCAAUGCCGCGUGCAGGAAGAAGGCCUUCGGGUUGUAAACUGCUUUUGUACGGAACGAAACGGUCCUGGUUAAUACCUGGGGCUAAUGACGGUACCGUAAGAAUAAGCACCGGCUAACUACGUGCCAGCAGCCGCGGUAAUACGUAGGGUGCGAGCGUUAAUCGGAAUUACUGGGCGUAAAGCGUGCGCAGGCGGUUUUGUAAGAUCGAUGUGAAAUCCCCGGGCUCAACCUGGGAACUGCAUUGGUGACUGCAAGGCUGGAGUGCGGCAGAGGGGGAUGGAAUUCCGCGUGUAGCAGUGAAAUGCGUAGAUAUGCGGAGGAACACCGAUGGCGAAGGCAAUCCCCUGGGCCUGCACUGACGCUCAUGCACGAAAGCGUGGGGAGCAAACAGGAUUAGAAACCCGUGUAGUCC